RNAcentral lists this ribosomal RNA (253 nucleotides) under uncultured bacterium. RNAcentral's name for it is "partial 16S ribosomal RNA". It matches the Rfam family "Bacterial small subunit ribosomal RNA", at positions 524 to 776 of the family's 1533-position model. The record is from RNAcentral.
UACGUAGGGGGCUAGCGUUGUCCGGAAUCAUUGGGCGUAAAGCGCGUGUAGGCGGCCCGAUAAGUCCGCUGUGAAAGUCCAGGGCUCAACCCUGGGAUGCCGGUGGAUACUGUCGGGCUCGAGUCCGGAAGAGGCGAGUGGAAUUCCUGGUGUAGCGGUGAAAUGCGCAGAUAUCAGGAGGAACACCAAUGGCGAAGGCAGCUCGCUGGGACGUGACUGACGCUGAGACGCGAAAGCGUGGGGAGCGAACCGG